UGGCAGAUAACGUUCUAGGUGAGACGUGCUCGACUGUUAAUCGAGAAUAGGUGGGUUCGAAUCCCGCUCUGCCAGCCA
Molecule: transfer RNA, 78 nt
Filed under: hydrothermal vent metagenome
Description: tRNA-Asn-GTT
Rfam family: tRNA
About the family: Transfer RNA (tRNA) molecules are approximately 80 nucleotides in length.
Source: RNAcentral